AAGCUUGAUGACGAUGAUAUCGUCAGCUAUAUCCUGAACGGAUUAGAUGCCAAUUACAAUCCGUUCGUAUCAUCGAUGACGGUGAAAGACAAUUUAUCCUUGAGUGAUCUCUAUUCUCAACUCCUUGCCUGUGAGG
Molecule: small nucleolar RNA, 136 nt
Organism: Panicum hallii
Lineage: Eukaryota; Viridiplantae; Streptophyta; Magnoliopsida; Poales; Poaceae
Product: small nucleolar RNA Z247
Exons: 1
Source: RefSeq, a predicted model, not a curated record